CAGCCGCCGCGGUAAUACGUAGGUGGCGAGCGUUAUCCGGAUUUAUUGGGCGUAAAGGGUGCGUAGGCGGCUUGUUAAGUAUAAAAUUAAAGCCCGAAGCUUAACUUCGGUUCGUUUUAUAAACUGGUAGGCUAGAGUACAGUAGAGGCAAAUGGAAUUCCUAGUGUAGUGGUAGAAUGCGUAGAUAUUAGGAGGAACACCAGUGGCGAAGGCGAUUUGCUGGGCUGUUACUGACGCUGAGGCACGAAAGCGUGGGGAGCAAAUAGGAUUAGAUACCCUAGUAGUCCACGCCGUAAACGAUGAGUACUAAGUGUCGGGUUACCGGUGCUGAAGUUAACACAUUAAGUACUCCGCCUGAGUAGUACGGCCGCAAGGCUGAAACUCAAAGGAAUUGACGGGCACCCGCACAAGCGGUGGAGCAUGCUGUUUAAUUCGAAAGUACGCGAAGAACCUUACCUAGAUUUGACAUCCUCGGCAAAGCUAUAGAAAUAUAGUGGAGGUUACCCGAGUGACAGGUGGUGCAUGGCC
Molecule: ribosomal RNA, 528 nt
Filed under: uncultured archaeon
Lineage: Archaea
Description: bacterial SSU rRNA
Rfam family: Bacterial small subunit ribosomal RNA
Source: RNAcentral